GACGAACGCUGGCGGCGUGCUUAACACAUGCAAGUCGAACGGAAAGGCCCUGCUUUUGUGGGGUGCUCGAGUGGCGAACGGGUGAGUAACACGUGAGUAACCUGCCCUUGACUUUGGGAUAACUUCAGGAAACUGGGGCUAAUACCGGAUAGGAGCUCCUGCUGCAUGGGGGGGGUUGGAAAGUUUCGGCGGUUGGGGAUGGACUCGCGGCUUAUCAGCUUGUUGGUGGGGUAGUGGCUUACCAAGGCUUUGACGGGUAGCCGGCCUGGGAGGGUGACCGGCCACAUUGGGACUGAGAUACGGCCCAGACGCCUACGGGAGGCAGCAGUGGGGAAUAUUGCACAAUGGGCGGAAGCCUGAUGCAGCAACGCCGCGUGCGGGAUGACGGCCUUCGGGUUGUAAACCGCUUUCGCCUGUGACGAAGCGUGAGUGACGGUAAUGGGUAAAGAAGCACCGGCUAACUACGUG
RNAcentral lists this ribosomal RNA (468 nucleotides) under uncultured bacterium. Its description in RNAcentral is "partial 16S ribosomal RNA". It matches the Rfam family "Bacterial small subunit ribosomal RNA", at positions 28 to 507 of the family's 1533-position model. The record is from RNAcentral.